RNAcentral lists this ribosomal RNA (1700 nucleotides) under metagenome. RNAcentral's name for it is "bacterial LSU rRNA". It matches the Rfam family "Bacterial large subunit ribosomal RNA", at positions 1189 to 2925 of the family's 2925-position model. The record is from RNAcentral.
CAACACCGAAGCCGUGGACUCCGUAAGGAGUGGUAGAGGAGCAUUCUUAAAACCGACGAAGCUGUACCGGUAAGGAGCAGUGGAGGGAUAAGAAGAGAGAAUGCCGGAAUGAGUAGCGAGAGGAAGGUGGGAAUCCUUCCGGCCGGAUAUCUAAGGUUUCCAGAGUAAAGCUGAUCUGCUCUGGGUAAGUCGGGGCCUAAGGAGAGGUCGCAAGACGUAUCCGAUGGACAACAGGUUUAGAUUCCUGUACCGCAUAUAAACAGAACUGUGGGGACGCAUGUGGAAAGCAUAAGCCGGGAAUGGAAAGACCGGUACAAGCGAGGUAGGUGUGUGACAGGCAAAUCCGUCGCAUAAGCCGAAGACGUGAUGUGGAGCGAAAUUUAGUAGUGAAGUAUGUGAGCCAUGUGCCGAGAAAAGCCGCUAUUGUUUUAUAUGUGCCCGUACCGUAAACCGACACAGGUGGAUGAAGAGAGAAUCCUAAGGCCGACGGAAGAAGCAUUGUUAAGGAAUUCGGCAAAAUGACCCCGUAACUUCGGGAGAAGGGGUGCCCACUAAAUGGUGGGCCGCAGAGAAUAGGCUCAAGCAACUGUUUAGCAAAAACACAGGUCUAUGCGAAACCGAAAGGUGAAGUAUAUGGGCUGACGCCUGCCCGGUGCUGGAAGGUUAAGAGGAGAGGUUAGCAAAGCGAAGCUUUGAAUUUAAGCCCCAGUAAACGGCGGCCGUAACAAUAACGGUCCUAAGGUAGCGAAAUUCCUUGUCGGGUAAGUUCCGACCCGCACGAAAGGCGUAAUGAUUUGAGCACUGUCUCGACAAUGCAUCCGGUGAAAUUGAAGUACCAGUGAAGAUGCUGGUUACCCGCGCCAGGACGGAAAGACCCCAUGGAGCUUUACUCCAGUUUGAUACUGGGAUUCGGUACUGCACGUACAGGAUAGGUGGGAGACUGAGAACUAUGGACGCCAGUCUGUAGGGAGUCGCUGUUGGGAUACCACCCCUGUAGUACUGGGUUUCUAACCAUCUGCCGUGAUCCGGCAGUGGGACAAUGUCAGGCGGGGAGUUUGACUGGGGCGGUCGCCUCCGAAAGGGUAUCGGAGGCGCUCAAAGGUUCCCUCAGAAUGGUCGGAAACCAUUUGAAGAGUGCAAAGGCAGAAGGGAGCUUGACUGCGACACCGACGGGUGGAGCAGGUACGAAAGUAGGACUUAGUGAUCCGGUGGUAUAAAGUGGGAUUGCCAUCGCUCAACGGAUAAAAGCUACCCUGGGAUAACAGGCUUAUCACUCCCAAGAGUUCACAUCGACGUAGUGGUUUGGCACCUCGAUGUCGGCUCAUCGCAUCCUGGGGCUGUAGCAGGUCCCAAGGGUUGGGCUGUUCGCCCAUUAAAGCGGUACGCGAGCUGGGUUCAGAACGUCGUGAGACAGUUCGGUCCCUAUCCGGCGCGGGCGGAGGAUAUUUGAGAGGAGCUGUCCUUAGUACGAGAGGACCGGGAUGGACGGACCACUGGUGUAUCUGUUGUCGACCAACGGCAUGGCAGAGUAGCCAAGUCCGGAAGGGAUAAACGCUGAAGGCAUCUAAGCGUGAAGCCCCCCUCAAGAUGAGAUAUCCCUCCUUCGGGAGUAAGACCCCUUGAAGACUACAAGGUAGAUAGGGCAGAGGUGGAAGUGUGGCAACACAUGGAGCUGACUGUUACUAAUAGGUCGAGGGCUU